UGGGGAAUUUUGGACAAUGGGCGAAAGCCUGAUCCAGCAAUGCCGCGUGUGUGAAGAAGGCCUUCGGGUUGUAAAGCACUUUUGUCCGGAAAGAAAUCCUUGGCUCUAAUACAGUCGGGGGAUGACGGUACCGGAAGAAUAAGCACCGGCUAACUACGUGCCAGCAGCCGCGGUAAUACGUAGGGUGCAAGCGUUAAUCGGAAUUACUGGGCGUAAAGCGUGCGCAGGCGGUUUGCUAAGACCGAUGUGAAAUCCCCGGGCUCAACCUGGGAACUGCAUUGGUGACUGGCAGGCUAGAGUAUGGCAGAGGGGGGUAGAAUUCCACGUGUAGCAGUGAAAUGCGUAGAGAUGUGGAGGAAUACCGAUGGCGAAGGCAGCCCCCUGGGCCAAUACUGACGCUCAUGCACGAAAGCGUGGGGAGCAAACAGGAUUAGAUACCCUGGUAGUCCACGCCCUAAACGAUGUCAACUAGUUGUUGGGGAUUCAUUUCCUUAGUAACGUAGCUAACGCGUGAAGUUGACCGCCUGGGGAGUACGGUCGCAAGUUAAAAACUUAAAGGAAUUGACGGGGUCAUAGCUGUUUCCU
This 585-nucleotide ribosomal RNA is filed under the name uncultured bacterium. Its description in RNAcentral is "partial 16S ribosomal RNA". It matches the Rfam family "Bacterial small subunit ribosomal RNA", at positions 355 to 1375 of the family's 1533-position model. The record is from RNAcentral.